Molecule: ribosomal RNA, 253 nt
Filed under: uncultured bacterium
Lineage: Bacteria
Description: partial 16S ribosomal RNA
Rfam family: Bacterial small subunit ribosomal RNA
Source: RNAcentral
UACGUAGGUGGCGAGCGUUGUCCGGAUUUACUGGGCGUAAAGGGCGUGCAGGCGGUUUGUUAAGUGCAGGGUGAAAGCUCCCGGCUCAACUGGGAGAGGUCCUUGCAUACUGGCGAACUCGAGGGAGGCAGAGGAAAGUGGAAUUCCCGGUGUAGUGGUGAUAUGCGUAGAUAUCGGGAGGAACACCUGUGGCGAAGGCGGCUUUCUGGGCCUUACCUGACGCUGAGGAGCGAAAGCGUGGGGAGCGAACAGG